Molecule: ribosomal RNA, 253 nt
Filed under: uncultured bacterium
Lineage: Bacteria
Description: partial 16S ribosomal RNA
Rfam family: Bacterial small subunit ribosomal RNA
Source: RNAcentral
UACAGAGGUCCCGAGCGUUGUUCGGAUUCACUGGGCGUAAAGGGUGCGUAGGUGGCAUGGCCAGUUUGAUGUGAAAGCUCAGGGCUUAACCCUGAAAUGGCAUUGAAUACUGCUGUGCUGGAGGUUUGGAGGGGGGACUGGAAUUCUUGGUGUAGCAGUGAAAUGCGUAGAUAUCAAGAGGAACACCAGUGGCGAAGGCGAGUCCCUGGACAACACCUGACACUGAGGCACGAAAGCCGGGGGAGCAAACAGG